This 61-nucleotide transfer RNA is filed under the name Macrohectopus branickii. RNAcentral describes it as "tRNA-Phe". The record is from RNAcentral. Lineage: Eukaryota; Metazoa; Arthropoda; Malacostraca; Amphipoda; Macrohectopidae.
AUUUAGAUAGCUUAAACAGAGCAUCGCUCUGAAGAGGCGAAGGUGGUAAGGCCUCUAAAUA